CGGAAACAAGCAAAUGCAACUUCAUUUAGUGUCGGAAGAGAUCUACGGUAGAUAAAGUAGCGAUCAAGGUAGUGGAAAAAUCGUGAAAGCCACAAAGCCAUGACUUUAUGAUUUGACCACCUUCUCACAAACUCCCUGAGACACCUGUGUAAAAUUAAUACACCAUUAACAACUACGAUUGGCAAACAUAUUAUAUAUAAUAUAUACUAUAUAUAUAUAAUCAUUUAAAAAUAUAGAAUAAAGAAUCAUAGUGGUAAUUAAAACAAUCCAAUCCUAGGCAAAUUACCGUUGAAGUAAUGUAGUCUUCAAAAGAUUCGCGAUACUUGUCAUACAACUGUUGAGAGUAAUCAUGUGGCGGUUUCUGCGUGCACAUGUUGAACACGAAUACUGAUAGAACAUCAUGUACUCCUCUGAGCUGAAUGGCGACUCGGGAAGGUCUUCUAGAAUGUUCUUUAACUUUGUUAUGCCUCUCUGCAUCAAGCCCCAUCCUACUUCUAAGUUCAUUGGUUCUCUCUCGCUCAUGCUGACUAUGCAACUUUUAUGAUGCAAUGGAACUAACUAGUGG
RNAcentral lists this long non-coding RNA (565 nucleotides) under Helianthus annuus (common sunflower). Its description in RNAcentral is "hypothetical non coding rna". The record is from RNAcentral. Lineage: Eukaryota; Viridiplantae; Streptophyta; Magnoliopsida; Asterales; Asteraceae.